UGUUGUUCCACGGGGCCCGGAGAGCGC
RNAcentral lists this small RNA (27 nucleotides) under Bombyx mori (domestic silkworm). RNAcentral's name for it is "ovarian small RNA-36201". The record is from RNAcentral. Lineage: Eukaryota; Metazoa; Arthropoda; Insecta; Lepidoptera; Bombycidae.